This 468-nucleotide ribosomal RNA is filed under the name uncultured bacterium. RNAcentral describes it as "partial 16S ribosomal RNA". It matches the Rfam family "Bacterial small subunit ribosomal RNA", at positions 28 to 507 of the family's 1533-position model. The record is from RNAcentral.
GACGAACGCUGGCGGCGUGCUUAACACAUGCAAGUCGAACGGAAAGGCCCUGCUUUUGUGGGGUGCUCGAGUGGCGAACGGGUGAGUAACACGUGAGUAACCUGCCCUUGACUUUGGGAUAACUUCAGGAAACUGGGGCUAAUACCGGAUAGGAGCUCCUGCUGCAUGGUGGGGGUUGGAAAGUUUCGGCGGUUGGGGAUGGACUCGCGGCUUAUCAGCUUGUUGGUGGGGUAGUGGCUUACCAAGGCUUUGACGGGUAGCCGGCCUGAGAGGGUGACCGGCCACAUUGGGACUGAGAUACGGCCCAGACUCCUACGGGAGGCAGCAGUGGGGCAUAUUGCACAAUGGGCGGAAGCCUGAUGCAGCAACGCCGCGUGCGGGAUGACGGCCUUCGGGUUGUAAACCGCUUUCGCCUGUGACGAAGCGUGAGUGACGGUAAUGGGUAAAGAAGCACCGGCUAACUACGUG